CACGUAGGCACCAAGCGUUGUCCGGAUUUAUUGGGCGUAAAGAGCUCGUAGGCGGUUCAGUAAGUCAGGUGUGAAAUCUUUGGGCUUAACCCAAAGCGUGCACUUGAUACUGCUGUGACUUGAGUUCGGGUAGGGGAGUUGGGGAAUUCCUAGUGUAGCGGAUGAAAUGCGCAGAUAGUUAGGAGGAACACCGGGUGGCGAAGGCGCCACUCUGGGCCGAAACUGACGCUGAGGAGCGAAAGCGUGGGUAGCAAACAGG
RNAcentral lists this ribosomal RNA (259 nucleotides) under uncultured bacterium. RNAcentral describes it as "partial 16S ribosomal RNA". It matches the Rfam family "Bacterial small subunit ribosomal RNA", at positions 524 to 776 of the family's 1533-position model. The record is from RNAcentral.